CACCCUGCCCCUUCCCUUCCCUUCCCUUCCCUUCCCUAGGCCAGACCACGUUCUGCUACCGAGUAUUCUUCUGUGGGAGAUCGGAAGCGACGAGUAUUAAUUUGUUUGUACUCGAAGGGAGUAGCGAUCGUACGUCUCGUCCGCCUGGCCGUCGCAGCGGGCGUGGCUCGAUUCCGUUGCCGUUUCGGUAAAGUUCGUCGGUAGAGUCGCGGGUUGGCUCUGUUUCUGUUUCGGAUUUUACAGAGCAAAUUGUACAGUGUAGUAGACCCUGUUCUCUGUUAAUCGAUACAAGGUUUGAAGGAGUUUAUGCAAAAUUAAGGGCAAAAUCAUGUACAAAAACGUACUUCAUCUACAUGCAUGAUUCGAUAAUUAGAGUAUGCUCGCCUCUAGAAUUUUCGUUUUGGCGAUUCAAUUGAUAGCGGGCUCUGCUCUGGCUACACACUGCACUUGACUGUUCUGGUGGUUGGCUGGUCUCGCCCUGAAGUCCUGAACUGAGCUUGGUUUUUCUGUUUCCCUCAUGCAGAUUUUUCUGUAAAAAAGAUAAAGCAUAUAAAAUCCACACACACACACACACACACACAAAAUACUCCUAGAGAGCACCUAUGUGACGGCCUAGGAUAAGAAGGUGGUUAAACAAAUCGUAAAGGACUAAAGGGCGUCAUGUGACCCAAUUUCACGUUUCCCCAAUCUGAGAAACGACCAAGCACAGGCAGUGAGAAGCGUCUGAACCGGAUGUAAGUAAACAUCUCUCUCCAGCUCCAGGAGAUAGCAUGAAUCGGCUAUCAGAUUCAUCGAAGCCGUGCAGGGGCUGCUCCAGUGUUGGCAAUCGCAGCGCUGCGGAAAAGGGACGGCUUGUAUCCAUCCACCUCGCCGGAUCUCGUCGCCUAGCAGCCGCACGAAAAUCUUUCACGAUCCCGACUUGAAUGGCCGCGUUGCGUGUGGCCCGGCCUCACCACGAGGCGCGCGGGCGCGGGGCCGGCCGCAGGGCGCGUACCCUCCCUAUACUAGUACCCACACGCGGCACAUGAUGCCAGCCACCCACACUGACACGGCCCUCCCCUGCCGCCAUUGACCUGUAGCGCCGCCGACGGGUGGUGCCCCGGCCGCUGCCGCUGCCGCUGCCGUCCUGUAGGGGUGUGGAAGUGGAGCCCCGUGUCAACGUGAUCCUGGGCCCGCGUUGAAUGUGGCCGUCGGCCCACGUGCUGGCCUUAAAUAUCUCGUGCCUUGGAUACGCAUACGUAUGCGCUGGGGGAGAGAGCGCAGCGAGUGAAUGCGUCGAUGCUGGAAUAGCCCUGCCUGACGACGCAGUAGUGACCGUCCCUGUGCGUAGCCCUUCAUUGAAUUGAAUACACUGGAGGCUCCAUCGUUGGGAGCACGGAAAGGCCAAAUGGGCACCGUACCUUGCUGGUGAAAACUGAAGAGGGCACAAGAGCAUCAGCAGCAGCAGGAAGUUUCUCAGUAAAAGGGCGGCACUACGACUUGUUCCGAUCUUUCAGGGCGUGCACCCAUUUCCUGAUGGAUCAAUGCUGCUUUUGCAUCUUCUUUUAGGGAGGCUCUCUUUUUGUCCCCCCAGCCGUCCAUUCGAUUGUUUAGGGAGAUUUCCGGUACCUUUUCUUCGGUUUGGGAUGGUCCAAAGAUCCUGCUCCAUGAUGCCAUUUGGUGGUUUAGCACAAGGGAGGUGGAAGGACUGUGCCCUUUUACACUAUAAUAAUAGUAAAGUGUAAAGCAACAAGUGAACAGCAUUUCUCCUUUUAUUUGUUUUUGCUCGAGAGAUGUCUUCGUUACAUGUUGUUAUGCUUCCACAUUGUAAUGGAAAUGAAUAAUGCCUCUUCACAGUCCUGGCAGCUGGUUCAGGAAUUUGAUUUUCCU
Long non-coding RNA from Panicum hallii, 1869 nucleotides. RefSeq lists it as uncharacterized. The record is from RefSeq and is a predicted model, not a curated record. NCBI's taxonomy places the organism in Eukaryota, Viridiplantae, Streptophyta, Magnoliopsida, Poales, Poaceae. The transcript has 2 exons.